This 1133-nucleotide ribosomal RNA is filed under the name Ligilactobacillus aviarius. RNAcentral's name for it is "bacterial SSU rRNA". It matches the Rfam family "Bacterial small subunit ribosomal RNA", at positions 98 to 1219 of the family's 1533-position model. The record is from RNAcentral. Lineage: Bacteria; Bacillati; Bacillota; Bacilli; Lactobacillales; Lactobacillaceae.
GCGGACGGGUGAGUAACACGUGGGUAACCUGCCCAAAAGAAGGGGAUAACAUUUGGAAACAAAUGCUAAUACCGUAUAACCAUGAUGACCGCAUGGUCAUUAUGUAAAAGGUGGUUUUGCUAUCGCUUUUGGAUGGACCCGCGGCGUAUUAACUAGUUGGUAGGGUAACGGCCUACCAAGGUGAUGAUACGUAGCCGAGUUGAGAGACUGAUCGGCCACAAUGGGACUGAGACACGGCCCAUACUCCUACGGGAGGCAGCAGUAGGGAAUCUUCCACAAUGGGCGCAAGCCUGAUGGAGCAACGCCGCGUGAAUGAAGAAGGUCUUCGGAUCGUAAAAUUCUGUUGUUAGAGAAGAAUAUGAGUAAUAGUAACUGAUUAUUCACUGACGGUAUCUAACCAGCAAGUCACGGCUAACUACGUGCCAGCAGCCGCGGUAAUACGUAGGUGGCAAGCGUUGUCCGGAUUUAUUGGGCGUAAAGGGAACGCAGGCGGUUUUUUAAGUCUGAUGUGAAAGCCUUCGGCUUAACCGGAGAUGUGCAUUGGAAACUGGAAGACUUGAGUGCAGAAGAGGAGAGUGGAACUCCAUGUGUAGCGGUGAAAUGCGUAGAUAUAUGGAAGAACACCAGUGGCGAAAGCGGCUCUCUGGUCUGUAACUGACGCUGAGGUUCGAAAGCAUGGGUAGCGAACAGGAUUAGAUACCCUGGUAGUCCAUGCCGUAAACGAUGAAUGCUAGGUGUUGGAGGGUUUCCGCCCUUCAGUGCCGCAGCUAACGCAAUAAGCAUUCCGCCUGGGGAGUACGACCGCAAGGUUGAAACUCAAAGGAAUUGACGGGGGCCCGCACAAGCGGUGGAGCAUGUGGUUUAAUUCGAAGCAACGCGAAGAACCUUACCAGGUCUUGACAUCUUUUGACCACCUAAGAGAUUAGGUUUUCCCUUCGGGGACAAAAUGACAGGUGGUGCAUGGCUGUCGUCAGCUCGUGUCGUGAGAUGUUGGGUUAAGUCCCGCAACGAGCGCAACCCUUGUUGUCAGUUGCCAUCAUUUAGUUGGGCACUCUGGCGAGACUGCCGGUGACAAACCGGAGGAAGGGGGGGAUGACGGCAAGUCAUCAUCACCCUUAUGCCCUGGGCUACAC